AACCUCCGCAAUGUGAGAAAUCGCGACGGGGGGAUCCCAAGUGCCAUUCUUAACGGGAUGGCUUUUCAUUAGUGUAAAGAGCUUUUGGAAUAAGAGCUGGGCAAGACCGGUGCCAGCCGCCGCGGUAACACCGGCAGCUCUAGUGGUAGCAGUUUUUAUUGGGCCUAAAGCGUCCGUAGCCGGUUUAAUAAGUCUCUGGUGAAAUCCUGUAGCUUAACUGUGGGAAUUGCUGGAGAUACUAUUAGACUUGAGACCGGGAGAGGUUAGAGGUACUCUCAGGGUAGAGGUGAAAUUCUGUAAUCCUGGGAGGACCGCCUGUUGCGAAGGCGUCUAACUGGAACGGUUCUGACGGUGAGGGACGAAAGUUAGGGGCGCGAACCGGAUUAGAUACCCGGGUAGUCCUAACCGUAACGAUGCGGACUUGGUGUUGGGGUGGCUUUGAGCUGCUCCAGUGCCGAAGGGAAGCUGUUAAGUCCGCCGCCUGGGAGUACGGUCGCAAGACUGAAACUUAAAGGAAUU
Molecule: ribosomal RNA, 519 nt
Filed under: uncultured bacterium
Lineage: Bacteria
Description: bacterial SSU rRNA
Rfam family: Archaeal small subunit ribosomal RNA
Source: RNAcentral